AUAUCUUACAGAAUUCGCCCUUAGAGUUUGAUCAUGGCUCAGAACGAACGCUGGCGGCGUGGAUAAGACAUGCAAGUCGAGCGCGACUUAAUCUGUACCAAUACAGGUUAAGUUGAGCGGCGAAAGGGUGCGUAACACGUGGGUAAUUUGCCAUAAAGUUGGGGAUAACUCUGCUGAAAGGCGAGCUAAUACCGGAUGUGGUUUUUGGAAGGCAUCUUCUGGAAANUAAAGUUGGGGACCGCAAGGCCUUACGCUUUAUGAUGAGCCCGCGGCCUAUCAGCUAGUUGGUGAGGUAACGGCUUACCAAGGCUAAGACGGGUAGCUGGUCUGAGAGGACGGACCAGCCACACUGGAACUUGAGACACGGUCCAGACACCUACGGGUGGCAGCAGUCGAGAAUUUUUCUCAAUGGGGGAAACCCUGAAGGAGCNACGCCGCGUGGGGGAUGAAUGGCUUCGGCCCGUAAACCCCUGUCAUUU
Molecule: ribosomal RNA, 479 nt
Filed under: uncultured copper smeltery bacterium D108
Lineage: Bacteria
Description: bacterial SSU rRNA
Rfam family: Bacterial small subunit ribosomal RNA
Source: RNAcentral